This 433-nucleotide ribosomal RNA is filed under the name uncultured bacterium. RNAcentral's name for it is "partial 16S ribosomal RNA". It matches the Rfam family "Bacterial small subunit ribosomal RNA", at positions 29 to 507 of the family's 1533-position model. The record is from RNAcentral.
AACGAACGCUGGCGGCAUGCCUAACACAUGCAAGUCGAACGAGACCUUCGGGUCUAGUGGCGCACGGGUGCGUAACGCGUGGGAAUCUGCCCUUGGGUUCGGAAUAACAGUGAGAAAUUACUGCUAAUACCGGAUGAUGUCUUCGGACCAAAGAUUUAUCGCACAGGGAUGAGCCCGCGUAGGAUUAGCUAGUUGGUGGGGUAAUGGCCUACCAAGGCGACGAUCCUUAGCUGGUCUGAGAGGAUGAUCAGCCACACUGGGACUGAGACACGGCCCAGACUCCUACGGGAGGCAGCAGUGGGGAAUAUUGGACCAUGGGCGCAAGCCUGAUCCAGCAAUGCCGCGUGAGUGAUGAAGGCCGUAGGGUUGUAAAGCUCUUUUACCCGGGAUGAUAAUGACAGUACCGGGAGAAUAAGCUCCGGCUAACUCCGUG